This 462-nucleotide ribosomal RNA is filed under the name uncultured Oscillospiraceae bacterium. Its description in RNAcentral is "bacterial SSU rRNA". It matches the Rfam family "Bacterial small subunit ribosomal RNA", at positions 912 to 1382 of the family's 1533-position model. Lineage: Bacteria; Bacillati; Bacillota; Clostridia; Eubacteriales; Oscillospiraceae. The record is from RNAcentral.
GACGGGAACCCGCACAAGCGGUGGAGUAUGUUGUUUAAUUCGAAGAUACACGAAGAACCUUACCAGGUCUUGACAUACCAUUGACAGGUGUAGAGAUACACUCUCCUUCGGGCAAUGGAUACAGGUGGUGCAUGGUUGUCGUCAGCUCGUGCCGUGAGAUGUUGGGUUAAGUCCCGCAACGAGCGCAACCCUUACGGUUAGUUGCUACGAAAGAGCACUCUAGCCGGACUGCCGUUGACAAAACGGAGGAAGGCGGGGACGACGUCAAAUCAUCAUGCCCCUUACGUUCCGGGCUGCACACGUACUACAAUGGCGCAAACAAAGGGAAGCGAGAUCGCGAGAUGGAGCAAACCCCGUAAAAGGCGUCCCAGUUCGGACUGCAGGCUGCAACCCGCCUGCACGAAGUUGGAAUUGCUAGUAAUCGCGGAUCAGCAUGCCGCGGUGAAUACGUUCCCGGGCUUU